UGGCUGAUUGGAUCAGCCAAUAGGAUUUUUUCUACCUUAAUUCCGAUUGGCUGAUAUAAUUCUAUCAGCCAAUCGCAAUCUAAGGGAUGCCAUCUUGGAUGACGUCACUUAAACUAAGGAACCUUCAUUCGUCGGGUAGUCGUCGGCAGAAGAGGAUGCUCCGCGUCGGAUGUCUUGAAGAUGGACCCGUUCCGCGCCGGAUGGAUGAAGAUGCUAUUUGGAUGAAGACUUCUACCGUCUGGAGGACCACUUCGUCCGGCUUGGAUGAAGACGUCUCCCGGUAAGUCGAUCUUCAGGGGGUUAGUGUUAAAAAAAUUUUUUAAAGGUGUAUUGGGUGGGUUUUAUUUUUAGGUUAGGGCUUUGGGCCGCAAAAGAGCUAACUGCUGAUUACUUUGGGGCAAUGCCCCGCAAAAGGCCCUUUUUAAGGGCUAUUGGUAAUUUAGUUUAGGCUAGGGUUUUUUUAUUUUGGGGGGGCUUUUUUUAUUUUGAUAGGGCUAUUAGAUUAGGUGUAAUUAGUUUAAAUAUCUGAUAAUUUGUUUUUUAUUUUCUGUAAUUUAGUGUUUUGUUUCUUUUGUACUUUAGAUAAUUGUAUAUAAUUUAGUUAAUUGUAUUUAAUUUAGUUAUUUUAUUUAAUUAUAGUGUAGUGUUAGGUGUUAGUGUAACUUAGGGUUUAUUUUAUAGGUAAGUAUUUAGUUUUAAAUAGGAAUAAUUUAAUUAAUGAUAGGAAUUUUAUUUAGAUUUAUUUAAAUUAGAUUUAAAUUAGGGGUGUUAGGUUUAGGGGUUAAUAAAUUUAAUAUAGUGGCAGCGACGUUGGGGACGGCAGAUUAGGGUUAAUACGUAUAAUGUAGGUGGUGGCGGUGUAGGGGGGGCAGAUUAGGGGUUAAUAACAUAAUGUAGGUGGCGGUGGGCUCCGGGAGUGGCAGGAUAGGGGUUAAUUAGUUUAUUAGAGUGGCGGUGGGCUCCGGGAGCGGCAGUUUAGGGUUUAAUAACUUUAUUUAGUUGCGGUGGGGUCCGUGAGCAGCGGUAUAGGGUUAAAACAGUGUAGUAUAGUGGCGGUGUUUAGUGACAGUAUACCAAUAAAGCUGUGAAAAAGCUGAAGAGCAGCGAGAUCGAUGACUAUUAGUUAACAACAGUCCGCUGCUCAUCGCCACGUACUUGGUGCGCGGCUUUUUGACAGCUUUUUUUGGUAACUUUGGAGAGCGUAUUCAGGUCUGCGGCAGCGAUGUUAGACGAUCUUAGGCGAGCGUAUUGGUGCAGUCGAAUGCAAGUAAGUUGACAGAUUGAUAAAUAGGCCCCUAUGUAUGUGGAGUUUUUCCUGUGCGGGCCGAUCAGUCUUAGAUUUAUUUUCCUUGUAACUGGGACUUAAAUGGACAUAAAACCUUUAAUUUAUUCUUUCAUGAUUCAGAUAGAGCUGUUAUUUUAAACAACUUUCAAAAUGUACUUCUAUUAUCAAAUGUACUUCAUUCUUUUGGUAUCUUUUGUUGAAGGAGCAGCAAUGUACUACUAGCUGAACACACUGGGUGAGCCAGCCACUGAACAGCAGCUAGCUCCCAGUAGUACAUUUCUGCUCCUAAGCCUACCUAGCUUUUCAACAAAGGAUACCAAGAGAAUAAAGGAAAUUUGAUAACGGAAGUAAAUUAUCAUAAUUUUCAUAAUUUAAACAGCGCGCUCAGCUAAAAACAACUUUACAAAUUUUAUUAUAAGGUACAAAAGUAUGUUCUUUUAUUAAAAAAAAAAGCACAACCCCCCCCCCCCCUCCCCUCAAAUUAUAGGUAACUAUUAAGCAAGUUAAAUACCACAAACUACAUAUAAACAAAGAAUCCUAUAAAACUGACACAUAGAGAGAGGAAUAGAAUGACACAUAGAGGGGGCACUCUGUGGAAGAACAGUACAGGAAGGGGAUAUGUAGAGCAGUGUUUUUCAACCAGUGUGCCACGGCACACUAGUGUGCGGUGAGAGAUCCUCAGGUGUGCCGCGGCAGACUGAGAACAGUGUGACAUAUUUUUUAAAUUUUGCUUGUUUUGAUGUGACAGGCUCAUCAGGCAGACAGGCAGGCAUCAUUUACAACCAUGACAUAUUGACAUUCAUUCACAGACAAUCAUUAUGAUGUAUAAUAUAUGCUGUAUUAGGCUACAAUGUGUAAUUUUGUAAAAUUUUGGUAUGGUGGUGUGCCGCAGGAUUUUGUAAUGUAAAAAAGUGUGCCACGGCAAAAAAAAUGUUGAAAAUCACUGAUGUAGAGCAAUGUUAAAAGCAUGAGGGCCUUAUUGCUGAGUCUUAUAUUGGACAAAUUGAGUGGAUCUAAGCUAUAAGGUAGAUGUCAAUAGUUGGAAAUGAUCUCUUCUCAAAUAGUGUUUGUUAUUAUGUGAGACUAGAAGUACUCCUGUAUGUGACACAUUUAGUCUUGUCUUGUACCAAUUGUACCCAUAGACUGCUCUGCAGAAUUUGUAAGCGCUUUAUAAAUAAAGUAUAAUAAUAAUAAAAUAA
Bombina bombina (fire-bellied toad) is the source of this 2484-nucleotide long non-coding RNA. RefSeq lists it as uncharacterized. The record is from RefSeq and is a predicted model, not a curated record. Lineage: Eukaryota; Metazoa; Chordata; Amphibia; Anura; Bombinatoridae. The transcript has 2 exons.